UACGAAGGGGGCUAGCGUUGUUCGGAAUUACUGGGCGUAAAGGGCGCGCAGGCGGCCCUCCAAGUCAGGCGUGAAGGCCCCGGGCUCAACCCGGGAAUAGCGCUUGAGACUGGGGGGCUUGAGUUCGGGAGAGGAGAGUGGAAUUCCCAGUGUAGAGGUGAAAUUCGUAGAUAUUGGGAAGAACACCGGUGGCGAAGGCGGCUCUCUGGACCGACACUGACGCUGAGGCGCGAAAGCGUGGGGAGCAAACAGG
This 253-nucleotide ribosomal RNA is filed under the name uncultured bacterium. RNAcentral describes it as "partial 16S ribosomal RNA". It matches the Rfam family "Bacterial small subunit ribosomal RNA", at positions 524 to 776 of the family's 1533-position model. The record is from RNAcentral.